GACGAACGCUGGCGGCGUGCCUAAUACAUGCAAGUAGAACGCAGUUGCGAACGUGUGAGUAACGCGUAGGUAACUGCCUGGUAGCGGGGGAUAACUAUUGGAAACGCUAGCUAAUACCGCAUACUACCAGAUGGACUUGUUUUGGAUUAGCUAGUUGGUGGGGUAACGGCUUACCAAGGCAACGAUACAUAGCCGACCUGAGAGGGUGGUCGGCCACAAUUGGGCUGAGACACGGCCCAGAAUCCUACGGGAGGCAGCAGUAGGGAAUAUUCGGAAAUGGAAGGAAGUCUGACCGAGCAACGCCGCGGGAGUGAAGAAGGUUUUCGGAUCGUAAAGCUCUGUUGUAAGAGAAGCGGUAUCUUACCAGAAAGGGACGGCUAACUACGUGCCAGCAGCCGCGGUAAUAC
Molecule: ribosomal RNA, 407 nt
Filed under: uncultured bacterium
Lineage: Bacteria
Description: partial 16S ribosomal RNA
Rfam family: Bacterial small subunit ribosomal RNA
Source: RNAcentral